This 84-nucleotide transfer RNA is filed under the name Bacteroidota bacterium. RNAcentral describes it as "Bacteroidetes bacterium (marine metagenome) tRNA-Leu". It matches the Rfam family "tRNA". Rfam says of the family: Transfer RNA (tRNA) molecules are approximately 80 nucleotides in length. Their secondary structure includes four short double-helical elements and three loops (D, anti-codon, and T loops). The record is from RNAcentral. Lineage: Bacteria; Pseudomonadati; Bacteroidota.
GCCCAGGUGGCGGAAAUGGUAGACGCGCAUGGUUGAGGGCCAUGUGACUUAAUUGUCGUGCAAGUUCGAUUCUUGUUCUGGGCA